AGCAGCCGCGGUAAUUCCAGCUCCAAUAGCGUAUAUUAAAGUUGUUGCAGUUAAAAGCUCGUAGUUGAAUUUCGGGGUCAGUAGAUUGGUCAUGCCUCCGGUAUGCACUGGUCUUACUGGCUCCUCCUUCCUGAUGAACCGUAAUGCCAUUAAUUUGGUGUUGCGGGGAGACUGGACUGUUACUUUGAAAAAUUAGAGUGUUUAAAGCAGGCUAACGCUUGAAUACAUUAGCAUGGAAUAAUGAAAUAGGACGCUCGAUCUUAUUUUGUUGGUUUCUAAGAUUGACGUAAUGAUUAAUAGGGAUAGUUGGGGCAUUAGUAUUCAAUUGUCAGAGGUGAAAUUCUUGGAUUUAUUGAAGACUAACUACUGCGAAAGCAUUUGCCAAGGAUGUUUCAUUAAUCAAGAACGAAAGUUAGGGAUCGAAGACGAUCAGAUACCGUCGUAGUCUUAACCAUAAACUAU
This 462-nucleotide ribosomal RNA is filed under the name uncultured Glomus. RNAcentral's name for it is "SSU rRNA". It matches the Rfam family "Eukaryotic small subunit ribosomal RNA", at positions 569 to 1040 of the family's 1831-position model. The record is from RNAcentral. Lineage: Eukaryota; Fungi; Glomeromycota; Glomeromycetes; Glomerales; Glomeraceae.